RNAcentral lists this ribosomal RNA (253 nucleotides) under uncultured bacterium. RNAcentral's name for it is "partial 16S ribosomal RNA". It matches the Rfam family "Bacterial small subunit ribosomal RNA", at positions 524 to 776 of the family's 1533-position model. The record is from RNAcentral.
UACGGAGGGAGCAAGCGUUGCUCGGAAUCACUGGGCGUAAAGGGCGUGUAGGCGGGAUGGCCAGUCGGAUGUGAAAGCCCCGGGCUCAACCCGGGAAGUGCAUUCGAUACUGCCGUUCUUGAGUGUGGUAGGGGAGAGCGGAAUUCCUGGUGUAGCGGUGAAAUGCGUAGAUAUCAGGAAGAACACCUGUGGCGAAGGCGGCUCUCUGGACCACAACUGACGCUGAGGCGCGAAAGCUAGGGGAGCAAACGGG